AAUGAACGUUGGCGGCGUGGAUUAGGCAUGCAAGUCGAACGGGCCUGGUUUUCGGAUCAGGCCAGUGGCGCAAGGGUGAGUAAGGCGACGGUAACCAACCCCAUGGUUGGGUAUAGCCGCGGGAAACUGCGGGUAAUCCCCAGCGACGCAGGGUGCCGGCAUCGGUGCCCUGUCAAAGUUCCGGCGCCGUGGGACGGGCCGUUGUGGUAUUAGGUAGUUGGCGGGGUAACGGCCCACCAAGCCAAUGAUGCCUACCGGGCGUGCGAGCGUGGCCCGGCACACUGGGACUGAGACACUGCCCAGACUCCUACGGGAGGCUGCAGUCGAGAAUCUUCGGCAAUGGGCGCAAGCCUGACCGAGCGACGCCGCGUGGAGGAUGAAGGCCUUCGGGUUGUAAACUCCUGUCGAGGGGGAGGAAGCCGCAAGGUUGACCGAUCCCUGGAGGAAGCACGGGCUAAGUUCGUGCCAGCCGCCGCCGUAACAC
RNAcentral lists this ribosomal RNA (484 nucleotides) under uncultured bacterium. RNAcentral's name for it is "bacterial SSU rRNA". It matches the Rfam family "Bacterial small subunit ribosomal RNA", at positions 28 to 526 of the family's 1533-position model. The record is from RNAcentral.